Molecule: long non-coding RNA, 1309 nt
Organism: Symphalangus syndactylus (siamang)
Lineage: Eukaryota; Metazoa; Chordata; Mammalia; Primates; Hylobatidae
Source: RefSeq, a predicted model, not a curated record
CCCUCUGUUGCCCAGGGUGGCGUGCAAAGGUACCAUCUCCGCUCACUGCAACCUCUGCCUUCUGGGUUCAGGCAAUUCUCUUGCCUCAGGCUCCCGAGUAGCUAGGAUUACAGGUGCCUGCUACCACGCCGGGCUAAUUUUUGUAUUUUUAGUAGAGAUGGGGUUUCACCAUGUUGGCCAGGCUGGCCUUGAACUCCUGACCUCAGGUGAUCCUUCUGCCUUGGCCUCCCAAAGUGCUGGAAUUAUGGGCAUGAGCCACCGUGCUCGGCCCCCUUGCAGCAGUUGUCUCUCCACAGUGAGACACGGGACUACAUUGUGAGUCCCUCCUUCCCCCCAAAGAAGAUAAACACACUUUGCAGACUCCCCUGCAGACACAUGACCUAGCUUCCACCGAUCAGACGCACAAGACUUGGAAGCAAGUAAACGUGGGCAAGGUGAGCUAGCUGGGCGUGGAGGAGCAUGAUCUCCUGGCAAGCAGGAGUCAGCUGGCAUGGUUUUGCUUCAAGUUGUGGGUGCAGAUCAUUUGGGGAGCAGCAGAGACCUGGGGAUGCUCUUGCCUGGUGGGCAGCACAAGCACGAGAGGUGCACCACACAGGGCCCACAGUUCCUAACCACUGAACUAUCCUGGAGGACAUGCCAUCCUCAUCAUGUGGCUUCUCCUCAUUGAGUAAGACAGCUGCUUGAGCUCCGGCCUAACACCUCACUCCAGUUUUCAGGGAAAAGGCAAGGGACAACACAGGACUCACCCAUUCCUUUAAGGAUCCUUGCUGAAUCUUUCACAGGGAGCUCCUGCUUGCCUUUGAUUGGCAUUUAGUCACACAGCAACACCUCUGCCAAGAAAAUGUAUUUAUUCCAGUGAUUAUGAGCUCAAUGAAAAAAUCAGCUCUACUGUUACAGGGGAGAAUGGAGACAGAACUUUCAGCAUCAUUGCUGCAUUUCACGGAUGAAGAAACUAAGGCUCAGAGGGGUGCACGACCUGCCGGAGGUCACGCAGCCAGGAAGAAGUGGAGCCUGGAUCUUCUGUCCCUGGGCUUUUAGGAGCCAGUGGGGCCCCAAAGGCACACACUGCUGAUUUCCUGGGGGUGAGGAGGACUGGGCUUCGGUGCACAACCCCCUCCCCUGCCCCAGGAACACCCGGGGCCCAGACCCUGCCAGCCACAGCCCCCUGUGCCUUCCAGCCCUGGCAGCCUCUCUGGGCCCAGAUCCGUCACACUGGCACCCAUCCUGCCCCGGGCCUAGCCUGACUCCAUCCAGUCUGCUCACACCAGCAUCGACUGUGCUUGGGCAGGUUACUGAAGCAGCCUCAAGA